Molecule: ribosomal RNA, 403 nt
Filed under: Verrucomicrobiota bacterium
Lineage: Bacteria; Pseudomonadati; Verrucomicrobiota
Description: Verrucomicrobia bacterium partial 16S ribosomal RNA
Rfam family: Bacterial small subunit ribosomal RNA
Source: RNAcentral
UGGGGAAUAUUGCACAAUGGGCGCAAGCCUGAUGCAGCAACGCCGCGUGAACGAUGAAGGUCUUCGGAUCGUAAAGUUCUGUUGCAGGGGAAGAUAAUGACGGUACCCUGUGAGGAAGCCCCGGCUAACUACGUGCCAGCAGCCGCGGUAAUACGUAGGGGGCUAGCGUUAUCCGGAUUUACUGGGCGUAAAGGGUGCGUAGGUGGUCUUUCAAGUCGGUGGUUAAAGGCUACGGCUCAACCGUAGUUAGCCUCCGAAACUGGAAGACUUGAGUGCAGGAGAGGAAAGUGGAAUUCCCAGUGUGGCGGUGAAAUGCGUAGAUAUUGGGGGGAACACCAGUAGCGAAGGCGGCUUUCUGGACUGCAACUGACACUGGGGCACGAAAGCGUGGGUAGCAAACAGG